CCAUAGUCAAGGAUUUCUUCAUUUGGGUCCUAGUGCUCUGUGGGGUUUAAAAUGAACAGCACCCCAGAACCAGCUGGCUGAGGUGACUCUUCUCUAUAGUCUCUAUCUCUCUAAUCUAUCUAUUUUUGAGUCUCAUACAGGACUCCCAUUAGGCUGUGUUCAGGUUGGUCUGGCCUGCUGCUUGCUGUGAGUAGCGCUGCUGUGGAGACAGUGUGAAGGAAGAUAGUGCCAUCCCAGACAAUCCAUCAUCUCACUGCGGGUGGAACACACAACAACACUGCUCCACUGUGGGCCAUUUCAAGUCAUUUACACAUUACUGAACGGCUGCAGUCAACAGCACCG
This 342-nucleotide long non-coding RNA is filed under the name Salmo salar (Atlantic salmon). RNAcentral describes it as "lncRNA (ENSSSAG00000110263.1, ENSSSAG00020078994.1, ENSSSAG00075005852.1)". The record is from RNAcentral. Lineage: Eukaryota; Metazoa; Chordata; Actinopteri; Salmoniformes; Salmonidae.